This 615-nucleotide ribosomal RNA is filed under the name uncultured Actinobacteridae bacterium. RNAcentral describes it as "bacterial SSU rRNA". It matches the Rfam family "Bacterial small subunit ribosomal RNA", at positions 252 to 866 of the family's 1533-position model. Lineage: Bacteria; Bacillati; Actinomycetota; Actinomycetes. The record is from RNAcentral.
GUGGGGUAAUGGCCUACCAAGGCUUCGACGGGUAGCCGGCCUGAGAGGGUGACCGGUCACACUGGGACUGAGACACGGCCCAGACUCCUAUGGGAGGCAGCAGUGGGGAAUAUUGGACAAUGGGCGGAAGCCUGAUCCAGCAACGCCGCGUGAGGGAUGACGGCCUUCGGGUUGUAAACCUCUUUCACCAUUGACGAAGCCGCACAGUGUGUGUGGUGACGGUAGGCGGGGAAGAAGCACCGGCCAACUACGUGCCAGCAGCCGCGGUAAUACGUAGGGUGCGAGCGUUGUCCGGAAUUAUUGGGCGUAAAGGGCUCGUAGGCGGUUUGUCGCGUCGGGAGUGAAAACACAGGGCUUAACUCCGUGCUUGCUUUCGAUACGGGCAGACUAGAGGGAUGCAGGGGAGGACGGAAUUCCUGGUGUAGCGGUGAAAUGCGCAGAUAUCAGGAGGAACGCCGGUGGCGAAGGCGGUUCUCUGGGCAUGUCCUGACGCUGAGGAGCGAAAGUGUGGGGAGCGAACAGGAUUAGAUACCCUGGCAGUCCACACCGUAAACGUUGGGCGCUAGGUGUGGGAUCCAUUCCACGGGUUCCGUGCCGCAGCUAACGCAUUAAGCG